RNAcentral lists this ribosomal RNA (1474 nucleotides) under uncultured rumen bacterium. RNAcentral describes it as "partial 16S ribosomal RNA". It matches the Rfam family "Bacterial small subunit ribosomal RNA". The record is from RNAcentral.
AGAGUUUGAUCAUGGCUCAGGAUGAACGCUGGCGGCGUGCGUAACACAUGCAAGUUGAGCGACGACGCAUCUGAAGUGGCAACAUGGAAGGUGCGAGCGGAGCAGCGGACGGGUGAGUACAACAUGAGAAGCUGUCCUCUGGUGGGGGGCAACGUCUAGAAAUGGACGCUAAUACCCCAUAGGCCGAAAGGUUAAAGCAGCAAUGUGCCAGAGGAGGUGCUCGUGCCCUAUCAGCUAGUUGGUGAGGUAACGGCUCACCAAGGCGACGACGGGUAGCCGGCCUGAGAGGGUGUCCGGCCACACUGGGACUGAGAUACGGCCCAGACUCCUACGGGAGGCAGCAGUGGGGAAUAUUGGGCAAUGGGAGAGAUCCUGACCCACCGACGCCGCGUGAACGAAGAAGGCCUUCGGGUCGUAAAGUUCUUUUAUGCGGGAAGAAGGAAGUGACGGUACCGCAUGAAUAAGCCCCGGCUAACUACGUGCCAGCAGCCGCGGUAAUACGUAGGGGGCGAGCGUUGUCCGGAAUUACUGGGCGUAAAGGGCACGCAGGCGGUGCAUCAAGUCAGCUGUAAAAGGAUGCGGCUUAACCGUAUUAUGCAGUUGAGACUGAAGUACUGGAGUGCUGGAGAGGCAAGUGGAAUUCCCAGUGUAGCGGUGAAAUGCGUAGAUAUUGGGAAGAACAUCGGUGGCGAAGGCGACUUGCUGGCCAGUAACUGACGCUGAGGUGCGAAAGSCAGGGUAGCAAACGGGAUUAGAUACCCCGGUAGUCCUGGCCGUAAACGAUGAAUGCUAGKKKKGCGUGCAGAGAUGCAGSCGUGCCGCAGUUAACGCGAUAAGCAUUCCGCCUGGGGAGUACGGUCGCAAGAUUGAAACUCAAAGGAAUUGACGGGGGCCCGCACGAGCAGUGGAUUAUGUGGUUUAAUUCGAAGCAACGCGAAGAACCUUGCAGGGCUUGACAUCCUCUGACAGCUGUAGAGAUACAGUUUCCCUUUCGGGGGCAGAGAGACAGGUGGUGCAUGGUUGUCGUCAGCUCGUGUCGUGAGAUGUUUGGUUAAGUCCAAUAACGAGCGCAGCGCGUAUGGUCAGCUGCCAGCAUUUAGUUGGGCACUCUGGCAAGACUGCCGCGGACAACGCGGAGGAAGGAGGGGACGACGUCAAAUCAUCAUGCCCCUUAUGUCCUGGGCUACACACGUAAUACAAUGGCAACGACAGAGGGCAGCUAACCCGCGAGGGCGAGCAAAUCCCCAAACGUUGUCCCCAGUUCGGACUGCAGGCUGCAACCCGCCUGCACGAAGUCGGAAUUGCUAGUAAUGGCAGGUCAGCAUACUGCCGUGAAUACGUUCCCGGGCCUUGUACACACCGCCCGUCACACCAUGAGAGUCUGCAAUACCCGAAGUCAGUAGCCUAACCGCAAGGAGGGCGCUGCCGAAGGUAGGGCCGAUAAUUGGGGUGAAGUCGUAACAAGGUAACCGUA